GAUGAACGCUGGCGGCGUGCCUAAUACAUGCAAGUCGAGCGAACGGACGAGAAGCUUGCUUCUCUGAUGUUAGCGGCGGACGGGUGAGUAACACGUGGAUAACCUACCUAUAAGACUGGGAUAACUUCGGGAAACCGGAGCUAAUACCGGAUAAUAUUUUGAACCGCAUGGUUCAAAAGUGAAAGACGGUCUUGCUGUCACUUAUAGAUGGAUCCGCGCUGCAUUAGCUAGUUGGUAAGGUAACGGCUUACCAAGGCAACGAUGCAUAGCCGACCUGAGAGGGGGAUCGGCCACACUGGAGCUGAGACACGGUCCAGACUCCUACGGGAGGCAGCAGUAGGGAAUGUGCCGCAGUGGGCGAGAGCCUGACGGAGCGGCGCCGCGUGAGUGAUGGAGGUCUUCGGAUCGUAAAACUCUGUUAUGAGGGAAGAACAGAUGUGGAAGUAACUGUGCACAGCUUGACGGUACCUAGUCAGAAAGCCACGGCUAACUACGUG
RNAcentral lists this ribosomal RNA (497 nucleotides) under uncultured bacterium. RNAcentral describes it as "partial 16S ribosomal RNA". It matches the Rfam family "Bacterial small subunit ribosomal RNA", at positions 28 to 507 of the family's 1533-position model. The record is from RNAcentral.